This 95-nucleotide microRNA precursor is filed under the name Canis lupus familiaris (dog). RNAcentral describes it as "mir-8799 microRNA precursor family". It matches the Rfam family "mir-8799 microRNA precursor family". The record is from Rfam by way of RNAcentral. Lineage: Eukaryota; Metazoa; Chordata; Mammalia; Carnivora; Canidae. RNAcentral also lists the same sequence under 1 other name.
AAGGGGAGUGCUGGAUCCUGGGCUGUGUCCCCUCGCGCCUUGUGCUCCCGGGCCUGCGCGGCUGGAAUCGCUCUCCCGAGGCCACGCAGCCCCCU